AGCGAACGCUGGCGGCAGGCUUAACACAUGCAAGUCGAGCGCCCGUAGCAAUACGGGAGCGGCAGACGGGUGAGUAACACGUGGGAACGUGCCUUUUGGUUCGGAACAACUGAGGGAAACUUCAGCUAAUACCGGAUAAGCCCUUACGGGGAAAGAUUUAUCGCCAAAAGAUCGGCCCGCGUCUGAUUAGCUAGUUGGUGGGGUAAUGGCCCACCAAGGCUACGAUCAGUAGCUGGCUGAGAGGAUGAUCAGCCACACUGGGACUGAGACACGGCCCAGACUCCUACGGGAGGCAGCAGUGGGGAAUCUUGGACAAUGGGCGCAAGCCUGAUCCAGCCAUGCCGCGUGAGUGAUGAAGGCCUUAGGGUUGUAAAGCUCUUUCAGCGGGGAAGAUAAUGACGGUACCCGCAGAAGAACGCCCCGGCUAACUUCGUGCCAGCAGCCGCCG
RNAcentral lists this ribosomal RNA (448 nucleotides) under uncultured bacterium. RNAcentral's name for it is "bacterial SSU rRNA". It matches the Rfam family "Bacterial small subunit ribosomal RNA", at positions 29 to 520 of the family's 1533-position model. The record is from RNAcentral.